This 878-nucleotide ribosomal RNA is filed under the name Alteromonadales bacterium HOT4C8. Its description in RNAcentral is "bacterial SSU rRNA". It matches the Rfam family "Bacterial small subunit ribosomal RNA", at positions 89 to 968 of the family's 1533-position model. The record is from RNAcentral. Lineage: Bacteria; Pseudomonadati; Pseudomonadota; Gammaproteobacteria; Alteromonadales.
UGACGAGUGGCGGACGGGUGAGUAAUGCUUGGGAACUUGCCUUUGCGAGGGGGAUAACAGUUGGAAACGACUGCUAAUACCGCAUAAUGUCUUCGGACCAAACGGGGCUUCGGCUCCGGCGCAAAGAGAGGCCCAAGUGAGAUUAGCUAGUUGGUAAGGUAACGGCUUACCAAGGCGACGAUCUCUAGCUGUUCUGAGAGGAAGAUCAGCCACACUGGGACUGAGACACGGCCCAGACUCCUACGGGAGGCAGCAGUGGGGAAUAUUGCACAAUGGGGGAAACCCUGAUGCAGCCAUGCCGCGUGUGUGAAGAAGGCCUUCGGGUUGUAAAGCACUUUCAGUUGUGAGGAAAAGUUAGUAGUUAAUACCUGCUAGCCGUGACGUUAACAACAGAAGAAGCACCGGCUAACUCCGUGCCAGCAGCCGCGGUAAUACGGAGGGUGCGAGCGUUAAUCGGAAUUACUGGGCGUAAAGCGCACGCAGGCGGUUUGUUAAGCUAGAUGUGAAAGCCCCGGGCUCAACCUGGGAUGGUCAUUUAGAACUGGCAGACUAGAGUCUUGGAGAGGGGAGUGGAAUUCCAGGUGUAGCGGUGAAAUGCGUAGAUAUCUGGAGGAACAUCAGUGGCGAAGGCGACUCCCUGGCCAAAGACUGACGCUCAUGUGCGAAAGUGUGGGUAGCGAACAGGAUUAGAUACCCUGGUAGUCCACACCGUAAACGCUGUCUACUAGCUGUGUGUGUCUUUAAGGCGUGCGUAGCGAAGCUAACGCGCUAAGUAGACCGCCUGGGGAGUACGGCCGCAAGGUUAAAACUCAAAUGAAUUGACGGGGGGCCCGCACAAGCGGUGGAGCAUGUGGUUUAAUUCGAUGCAACGCGAAGAA